GCUGGGUGUGGUGACACACUCCUGUAAUCCCAGUGGCUUGGGAGGCUGAGACAGGAGGAUUUUGAGUUCAAAGCCAGUCUCAGCAAUGGUGAGGCCCUAAGCAACUCAGUGAGACCCUGUCUCUA
Molecule: small RNA, 125 nt
Filed under: Marmota monax (woodchuck)
Lineage: Eukaryota; Metazoa; Chordata; Mammalia; Rodentia; Sciuridae
Source: RNAcentral